RNAcentral lists this ribosomal RNA (468 nucleotides) under uncultured bacterium. Its description in RNAcentral is "partial 16S ribosomal RNA". It matches the Rfam family "Bacterial small subunit ribosomal RNA", at positions 28 to 507 of the family's 1533-position model. The record is from RNAcentral.
GACGAACGCUGGCGGCGUGCUUAACACAUGCAAGUCGAACGGAAAGGAGCUGCUUUUGUGGGGUGCUCGAGUGGCGAACGGGUGAGUAACACGUGAGUAACCUGCCUUUGACUUUGGGAUAACUUCAGGAAACUGGGGCUAAUACCGGAUAGGAGCUCCUGCUGCAUGGUGGGGGUUGGAAAGUUUCGGCGGUUGGGGAUGGACUCGCGGCUUAUCAGCUUGUUGGUGGGGUAGUGGCUUACCAAGGCUUUGACGGGUAGCCGGCCUGAGAGGGUGACCGGCCACAUUGGGACUGAGAUACGGCCCAGACUCCUACGGGAGGCAGCAGUGGGGAAUAUUGCACAAUGGGCGGAAGCCUGAUGCAGCAACGCCGCGUGCGGGAUGACGGCCUUCGGGUUGUAAACCGCUUUCGCCUGUGACGAAGCGUGAGUGACGGUAAUGGGUAAAGAAGCACCGGCUAACUACGUG